RNAcentral lists this transfer RNA (73 nucleotides) under Agrilus planipennis (emerald ash borer). It matches the Rfam family "tRNA". From Rfam's summary of the family: Transfer RNA (tRNA) molecules are approximately 80 nucleotides in length. Their secondary structure includes four short double-helical elements and three loops (D, anti-codon, and T loops). The record is from Rfam by way of RNAcentral. Lineage: Eukaryota; Metazoa; Arthropoda; Insecta; Coleoptera; Buprestidae.
CCUCUCGUAGGUUAGUGGUUAGAGCAUUGGCGCAUAAUGCCAAAGGUCCCGGGUUCGAUUCCCGACGAAAGUG